Molecule: transfer RNA, 58 nt
Filed under: Chamaeleo gracilis
Lineage: Eukaryota; Metazoa; Chordata; Lepidosauria; Squamata; Chamaeleonidae
Description: tRNA-Cys
Source: RNAcentral
AAAUCCAGGAUCUAAAAGACCUUAUCCGAAUUUGCACUUCGGGCUAUUUUACUGAACU